RNAcentral lists this non-coding RNA (253 nucleotides) under uncultured bacterium. Its description in RNAcentral is "partial 16S ribosomal RNA". It matches the Rfam family "Bacterial small subunit ribosomal RNA", at positions 524 to 776 of the family's 1533-position model. The record is from RNAcentral. RNAcentral also lists the same sequence under 2 other names.
UACGGAGGGAGCUAGCGUUGUUCGGAAUUACUGGGCGUAAAGCGCACGUAGGCGGCUUUGUAAGUUAGAGGUGAAAGCCUGGAGCUCAACUCCAGAACUGCCUUUGAUACUGCAUGGCUUGAAUCCAAGAGAGGUGAGUGGAAUUCCGAGUGUAGAGGUGAAAUUCGUAGAUAUUCGGAAGAACACCAGUGGCGAAGGCGGCUCACUGGCUUGGUAUUGACGCUGAGGUGCGAAAGCGUGGGGAGCAAACAGG